This 4299-nucleotide long non-coding RNA is filed under the name Brassica napus (rape). Its description in RNAcentral is "long non-coding RNA (BNAP_LNC000112)". The record is from RNAcentral. Lineage: Eukaryota; Viridiplantae; Streptophyta; Magnoliopsida; Brassicales; Brassicaceae.
UCCUAACCGUUUCCAAACCGGUCGCCUCUCAGAACUGCGGCUGCGCCUCUGGCUUAUGCUGCAGCAGUGCUGGUUACUGUGGAACCACCGACGCGUACUGCGGCGAGGGAUGCAAAGAAGGACCUUGCAAGAACAGCGGUCCCGGAGAUCCAACUGUUUCACUUGAAGAAACUGUGACACCUGAGUUCUUCAACUCUAUACUAAGCCAAGCAACAGAGAGUGACUGCAAAGGUAGAGGAUUCUACACCCACGAAACCUUUAUGGCUGCAGCUAAUGCCUAUCCGAGCUUCGGUGCUACCAUCUCCAAACGUGAAAUCGCUGCCUUCUUUGCUCACGUUGCUCAGGAAACAGGAUGUAAGUAAUUCUUUACGAUAAUUAAAUUCAUAAUUCUUUUUGGAACUAUCACAAUAUUUUGAUACUUCUCUAGAGUUUCCAGUUUUCAUACAUGGAUAUUAGGUUAUUAUUAUGCAGUUUUUUAUUAUUUGGUUUUCAUUUUAGGAUUAUAAACAUAUACUCCUUCUGAUUCAUACAGAGUAUUGUUUUGACACUUUUCUUGUUAUACAAAAUGUGUCAUUUUAAAAUUCUAGUUCAUUUUUAAUAAAAUUCUACUCAUAGUUUUUAAUUGUAAAAACUAAAAAUGUUUUGAUUUUAUAAAUAUAUUUAAUUUUCUCAAAUACUAAUAGCUAAAUAAAUGUAAUUCUUAACGGCACAAAUUGAUUUUAACCAUUUUUCCUAAUUUUUGUGAAAGUAUCAAAAUUACAUUUUUAUGAAACAGAGGAGAAAAUAUAAAUUACGAUUUUCAUUGGUUCAGUUUGACUAAAACUAACCCAUCAUUAAAAAAAAUCAGUUAGAUUAUAUACAGAUUUUGGUUCGAGUUAUCAUAUAUGCUUACCAGUUACCACUAGGAUUCGCUUUUAGUCAUUUGGUUAUAUUACCUUGUUACAGUCCUGUGCCACAUUGAGGAAGUCGAUGGACCAGCGAAGGCCGCACGUGGAGAAUACUGUGACACAACAAAACCAGAGUUCCCAUGUGUACCAGGAAAGGGCUACUACGGUCGUGGUGCGAUCCAGCUCUCUUGGAACUACAACUAUGGUCCUUGUGGCAGAGACCUGAACGAGGGAGACUUAUUGGCUACACCAGAGAAAGUGGCUCAAGACCAGGUUCUUGCCUUCAAGGCCUCUUUCUGGUACUGGACCACUAAUGUUCGCUCGAGUUUUAAAUCGGGCUUUGGCCCGACAAUCAAGGCUGUGAAUAGUAUGGAGUGUACCGGAACAGGAGUUCCUAGUGAAACAGCUGCUAACAGGAUUAGGUACUUUCAAGACUAUUGUAUGAAGCUUGACGUUCUACCUGGAGAAAACCUCACUUGUUAAGGUUUCUCUCUAUCCAUCUGAAACAGCCAAUGUUGGCAAUAUAAGAAUAAGAGAUCACAGAAGAGAAAGUAUCAUACUAGUAUAGUUGUUGUAAUAAUGUAAUCAUGAAACGAUUUCCAUUUAUGCAUAGGCACAUGGGAUUUUAGAACAGAGGUUCCAUUAUUGUGAACUUAUCACCAACACACAUUGGAUGUAUCUCUGUGUUUACAUUUAAAUGCAUGAAUAUUCAUAAGAUGUCACUCCUAGCUUCAAUUCGAUUUACUGUUAAACACAAACGAACAGAAAACACAAACUGAAGCGAACUCGUUUUAAUACCACACAUGAACAUGUCGACGAUGACACACACAAGCAGACACAUGCAAUUUUAACAGAAGAAUGAAACUUUCAACUGCAGCUAAAUCGUGUAGCGAUCAUUUAAUUUAGUUGCACGUUGUAACUUGUAACCCAAAUAAACCAUUCUGAUAAAAAAUAUCAGAACGAGUGGUCUAUGUAGACAAGUAACGUACGGUCCACCAUAUUAAAUAAUUUCAUCCGACUAUAUAUAGGGCCCAUAAUUUACUUUUCAUUAGUUUCAAUCUUUCAAAAUAUCAAUAGAUUGAUUAUUUGAAUUUAUAGCUUUUUUCAAUUGUUGAUAUGGUCUUAGGAUUUUUGUGUACCAAGAUAUCAAAGUUGGACAGGUCCCUAGUCCUCGGUUGGUUUUCAGGUAACGAACUGAACCAAACCAAAUGAAUAGCUGACGAAACCGUAUUCUCAUCCUCGUCGCCCAGAUCUAUGUGUAUAAGGUUUCAAAUGUUGUAAGUUACUGCUAAUUAUGUGGCUAUGGCCUAUGGUUCCAUUAGGGAAAUUCUUGAACAGAUCCAUACAAACCAAAAUUCCAAACCAUGCGAGUCUUAGUCUCUUAGAUACUUCCAGGCUUUUUAUUUCACAUAUUCAUUGUUACAUCAUUACUUAGACCACCGCUUACACAUUUUAUUAUUACACAAACCAUCACGCAUGAAUGAUUCAAAUACCGCCACUUAGAAUCUGGUGAGAAAUUUCGUCGCUGCAGUAUUCGCAUAAGCAUUUAACAGAAUCAGGGGAAUCUCCCCAACGGCAUAUCCCACCUUUCGCGCCCUUGUCCUCACGGCAUCUUGUAUAACAAAACGACGGAUAAAUCCGAGGCGCACAGAAGUUGAAACCCACGUUGCCUCCGUAUUCUUUCAGGCACUCGCUAUCCUGCGCUUUUAUCUCCGGCACUUCUGCUCAUUAUAUAUAUAGAAUGUUUUAGAAAAUAGUAAGCACAUACUAUGAUAAAUCGCGCUGCAUGAUUAAAACUUUUGAGAUCCUAUGAACCAGACAGAGUUAAAUAAAUAUGUGAAAUAAAUGCGGUAUUAGUUUUGAUUCUUUUUGGUAAAAAUAGGUGUUAGUUACUUUACCAAAAAUAAUCAAAACGAGGAUGAAAAUGAGGGUGAAGGAAGAAACUGAUUUUGUAUUUGUUGCCAUGGCCAUCUUAUCUCUGUCUCUAUGUCUGCUCUUUACUCUCUCUCUAUAUAACUUUGGAGUUAAUGUAUGUGUAAAAUGAACCCCGGUGUGCUAUUUAUCUUUGUCGUUGGAGCAAAAAGUAAAUCAUUAAAGUUAUUUAGCUGCCAUCACUCAGUAUUUUAAAUAUAUAUACAUACAUGUAUAUAUAUGAGUUGUAACUACUUUUUUAAGUUUAUCAUAUGCCUGAAAAACGUGCUAAAAUUGAUUUGUUUGUAAUAUGAAAGGUUUUCUUGUAAGAAAUUAUUACUCUAGGCCCAGCCCAGUAUUUUAUUCUAAAAGCUCAAUACAUACUAAAGAUGGAAACCAAAUUGAACCAGAAAAUUGAACAAACCCGAGUUAAAUCAAGAACCGAACCAGGAACAAAUCCACCUGGCUCAGUAUAUUUUUGAUUUGAUUUUCAGCAUUUUACAUAUGGUUUCCACCUGUUUUAAAAUCAUCAAAUUUAAAAUUAUGGUAUUUUUAUUAUAUUUUUAUUAUCCAGUUUAAGCAGUAAAAGGAUUAUACUUUUUAAUUUAUAUAUUCAUUGUUUUGCUAGAUAAUUUCAGUACGACGUUCAUCUUCUUGCAAUUUUUAUCAUCUAACCAGUACUUGUUUUAUCUACAUCAGUCAAGUUGUAUUUAGAAAGAUUUCAAUAUAAUUAACUUGUUUUUCAAAAAAAACAACAAAAAUAUUGAAUUCAUGACCGACAUGAAAUUUGUUUGGUCAUUGACCUAUUUUGUAAUUGUACGAAGGGUUUAUUGACUUGAACUAAAAUCUUAAGAGCAUCUCCAAUGAAUUAACGGAUUUAUGUAAUAUACAAUGAAAAUUUAAAUGUCGUUUGGAACAUUUGAAUUUUCUCCACGUACCGUGGCGACUAGGCUAGUACUAAAUUGUUGCGUGGCGUUGACGCUUGACUUCAAGUUCACAAUAGGUUCCCUUCUCAUUACCAUCAUUGUCUUUGCUUCUCCUAUAAAACGCGGAGCUAAUGUACCUUCAUCUACCUCACACACACACACACAGAAAAAACAACGAUGAAGUACGCUAAAACCACAUCACGAAAUGACCAGUUUGCUUUUUUACUCACAACUCUUUUCUUCCUCAUCCUAGCCGUGUCCAAACCGGUUGCCUCUCAGAACUGCGGCUGCGCCUCUGGCUUAUGCUGCAGCAGUGCUGGUUUCUGUGGGAUGACCGACGAGUACUGCGGCGAGGGAUGCAAAGAAGGACCUUGCAAGAACAGCGGUCCCGGAGAUCCAACUGUUUUACUUGAAGAAACUGUGACACCUGAGUUCUUUAACUCUAUACUAAACCAAGCAACAGGGAGUGACUGCAAAGGUAGAGGAUUCUACACCCACGAAACCUUUAUGGCUGCAGCUAAUGCCUAUCCGAGCUUCGGUGCUACCAUCUCCAAACGUGAAAUCGCUGCCUUCUU